GCAAGUCGAGCGGACAGAAGGGAGCUUGCUCCCGGAUGUUAGCGGCGGACGGGUGAGUAACACGUGGGUAACCUGCCUGUAAGACUGGGAUAACUCCGGGAAACCGGAGCUAAUACCGGAUAGUUCYUUGAACCGCAUGGUUCAAGGAUGAAAGACGGUUUCGGCUGUCACUUACAGAUGGACCCGCGGCGCAUUAGCUAGUUGGUGGGGUAAUGGCUCACCAAGGCGACGAUGCGUAGCCGACCUGAGAGGGUGAUCGGCCACACUGGGACUGAGACACGGCCCAGACUCCUACGGGAGGCAGCAGUAGGGAAUCUUCCGCAAUGGACGAAAGUCUGACGGAGCAACGCCGCGUGAGUGAUGAAGGUUUUCGGAUCGUAAAGCUCUGUUGUUAGGGAAGAACAAGUGCGAGAGUAACUGCUCGCACCUUGACGGUACCUAACCAGAAAGCCACGGCUAACUACGUGCCAGCAGCCGCGGUAAUACGUAGGUGGCAAGCGUUGUCCGGAAUUAUUGGGCGUAAAGGGCUCGCAGGCGGUUUCUUAAGUCUGAUGUGAAAGCCCCCGGCUCAACCGGGGAGGGUCAUUGGAAACUGGGAAACUUGAGUGCAGAAGAGGAGAGUGGAAUUCCACGUGUAGCGGUGAAAUGCGUAGAGAUGUGGAGGAACACCAGUGGCGAAGGCGACUCUCUGGUCUGUAACUGACGCUGAGGAGCGAAAGCGUGGGGAGCGAACAGGAUUAGAUACCCUGGUAGUCCACGCCGUAAACGAUGAGUGCUAAGUGUUAGGGGGUUUCCGCCCCUUAGUGCUGCAGCUAACGCAUUAAGCACUCCGCCUGGGGAGUACGGUCGCAAGACUGAAACUCAAAGGAAUUGACGGGGGCCCGCACAAGCGGUGGAGCAUGUGGUUUAAUUCGAAGCAACGCGAAGAACCUUACCAGGUCUUGACAUCCUCUGACAACCCUAGAGAUAGGGCUUUCCCUUCGGGGACAGAGUGACAGGUGGUGCAUGGUUGUCGUCAGCUCGUGUCGUGAGAUGUUGGGUUAAGUCCCGCAACGAGCGCAACCCUUGAUCUUAGUUGCCAGCAUUUAGUUGGGCACUCUAAGGUGACUGCCGGUGACAAACCGGAGGAA
This 1130-nucleotide ribosomal RNA is filed under the name Bacillus sp. (in: firmicutes). RNAcentral's name for it is "bacterial SSU rRNA". The record is from RNAcentral. Lineage: Bacteria; Bacillati; Bacillota; Bacilli; Caryophanales; Bacillaceae.